This 639-nucleotide ribosomal RNA is filed under the name uncultured Alphaproteobacteria bacterium. Its description in RNAcentral is "bacterial SSU rRNA". It matches the Rfam family "Bacterial small subunit ribosomal RNA", at positions 26 to 691 of the family's 1533-position model. The record is from RNAcentral. Lineage: Bacteria; Pseudomonadati; Pseudomonadota; Alphaproteobacteria.
AACGCAAACGCUGGCGGCAGGCCUAACACAUGCAAGUCGAACGAACCCUUCGGGGUUAGUGGCGGACACGGGUGAGUAACACGUGGGAACGUGCCCUUUGGUUCGGAAUAACUCGGGGAAACCCGAGCUUUAAUACCGAAUGAGCCCUACGGGGGAAAGAUUUAUCGCCGAAGGAGCGGCCCGCGUCUGAAAUUAGGUAGUUGGUGGGGUAAAGGCCCACCAAGCCUACGAUCAGUAGCUGGUCUGAGAGGACAUGACCAGCCACAUUGGGACUGAGACACGGCCCAAACUCCUACGGGAGGCAGCAGUGGGGAAAAUCUUGCGCAAUGGGCGAAAGCCUGACGCAGCCAUGCCGCGUGAAUGAUGAAGGUCUUAGGGGAUUGUAAAAUUCUUUCACCGGGGACGAUAAUGACGGUACCCGGAGAAGAAGCCCCGGCUCCAACUUCGUGCCAGCAGCCGCGGUAAUACGAAGGGGGCUAGCGUUGCUCGGAAUUACUGGGUACGUAAAGGGCGCGUAGGCGGACAGUUUAGUCAGGGGUGAAAUCCCAGGGCUCAACCCUGGACAACUGCCUUUGAUACUGGCUGUCUUGAGUACGGGAGAGGUGUGUGGAACUCCGAGUGUAGGCAGGUGAAAUUCGU